Molecule: long non-coding RNA, 289 nt
Organism: Coregonus clupeaformis (lake whitefish)
Lineage: Eukaryota; Metazoa; Chordata; Actinopteri; Salmoniformes; Salmonidae
Exons: 3
Source: RefSeq, a predicted model, not a curated record
AUAAUGCGGAAUAGGUGGUUGGAGUUUGUUGGUCCCCAGUGGUGACGAAGUGCACAGUUGGGUGCCAGACUGAUCCCUUGUUUAUUAAUGGAUGCCGGGAUCUACCAGAAGGAGCAAAGCUUGUCAGGCAAGACCACAGAAUAACAGUGUGUCGUGACACAAGGACCCUUGAGACACCUCCUCCAUUGUUGCCAGAGUCUCCCUCGACUCCUAUGAAAAGGACACGCCAUCAUGAGGCGUCUGAUAGUGACCUGAUUACUGCCCUGAUGACACAGACAGCUUCAUCAAC